UACAGAGGGUGCGAGCGUUAAUCGGAAUUACUGGGCGUAAAGCGUGCGUAGACGGUUAUCUAAGUCGGAUGUGAAAGCCCCGGGCUUAACCUGGGAACUGCGUUUGAAACUGGGAGACUUGAGUGUGGCAGAGGGGGGUGGAAUUCCACGUGUAGCAGUGAAAUGCGUAGAUAUGUGGAGGAACACCGAUGGCGAAGGCAGCCCCCUGGGUUAACACUGACGCUCAUGCACGAAAGCGUGGGGAGCAAACAGG
This 253-nucleotide ribosomal RNA is filed under the name uncultured bacterium. Its description in RNAcentral is "partial 16S ribosomal RNA". It matches the Rfam family "Bacterial small subunit ribosomal RNA", at positions 524 to 776 of the family's 1533-position model. The record is from RNAcentral.